RNAcentral lists this transfer RNA (83 nucleotides) under Clostridiales bacterium. Its description in RNAcentral is "tRNA-Leu". It matches the Rfam family "tRNA". Rfam says of the family: Transfer RNA (tRNA) molecules are approximately 80 nucleotides in length. Lineage: Bacteria; Bacillati; Bacillota; Clostridia; Eubacteriales. The record is from RNAcentral.
GCGGGUAUGGCGGAAAUGGCAGACGCGUCGGACUUAGGAUCCGAUGGGCGACCGUGUGGGUUCAACUCCCACUACCCGCACCA